AUUCCAGCUCCAGUAGCGUAUAUUAAAGUUGUUGCAGUUAAAAAGCUCGUAGUUGGAUUUCUGGCUUGAGACGCCUGAGCCGCCAGGGUUACCUGUGUGAGUCUCGGUGUGUCUCUGCCAUCCUUCUGGAUAGCGUGUCUACCUUUUAUUAGGCCGGGCUCGUGCUCCAGAUCUUUUACUUUGAAAAAAUUAGAGUGUUUAAAGCAAGCUUGCGCUAUGAAUACAUUAGCAUGGAAUAAUAACUUAGGACUUUGGUUCUAUUUUGUUGGUUUCUAGGACUGAAGUAAUGAUUGAUAGGGAUAGUUGGGGGUGCUAGUAUUCAGCGGCCAGAGGUGAAAUUCUUGGAUUCGCUGAAGACUAACUUAUGCGAAAGCAUUCACCAAGGAUGUCUUCAUUG
This 397-nucleotide ribosomal RNA is filed under the name Thecofilosea sp. RNAcentral describes it as "partial small subunit ribosomal RNA". It matches the Rfam family "Eukaryotic small subunit ribosomal RNA", at positions 582 to 975 of the family's 1831-position model. The record is from RNAcentral. Lineage: Eukaryota; Cercozoa; Thecofilosea.